Molecule: ribosomal RNA, 459 nt
Filed under: uncultured bacterium
Lineage: Bacteria
Description: partial 16S ribosomal RNA
Rfam family: Bacterial small subunit ribosomal RNA
Source: RNAcentral
CCUACGGGGGGCAGCAGUGAGGAAUAUUGGUCAAUGGUCGGGAGACUGAACCAGCCAAGCCGCGUGAGGGAUGAAGGUACAGAGUAUCGUAAACCUCUUUUGUCAGGGAACAAAGGCGGGGACGUGUCCCCGGAUGAGUGUACCUGAAGAAAAAGCAUCGGCUAACUCCGUGCCAGCAGCCGGGGUAAUACGGAGGAUGCGAGCGUUAUCCGGUUUUAUUGGGUUUAAAGGGUGCGCAGGCGGUCUGUUAAGUCAGAGGUAAAAGCCCGGGGCUCAACCCCGGCCCGCCGUUGAAACUGGCAGUCUCGAGUUGGAGAGAAGUAUGCGGAAUGCGCGGUGUAGCGGUGAAAUGCAUAGAUAUCGCGCAGAACUCCGAUUGCGAAGGCAGCAUGCCGGCUCCACACUGACGCUGAGGCACGAAAGCGUGGGUAUCGAACAGGAUUAGAUACCCGAGUAGUC